This 66-nucleotide transfer RNA is filed under the name Marmota monax (woodchuck). Its description in RNAcentral is "tRNA.Ala". The record is from RNAcentral. Lineage: Eukaryota; Metazoa; Chordata; Mammalia; Rodentia; Sciuridae.
GGAUUGUGGCUUAGCGGUAGAGCGUUCCCCUAGCACGGCGAGACCCGGGUUCAAUCCUCAGCACCA